RNAcentral lists this ribosomal RNA (787 nucleotides) under uncultured archaeon. Its description in RNAcentral is "bacterial SSU rRNA". It matches the Rfam family "Archaeal small subunit ribosomal RNA", at positions 85 to 876 of the family's 1478-position model. The record is from RNAcentral.
ACGGCUCAGUAACACGUGGAUAACAUGCCCUAAGGUGGGGGAUAAUCUCGGGAAACUGAGGAUAAUACCCCAUAGGUCUUCUCUGCUGGAAUGCUUGAAGGCCGAAAACUCCGGUGCCUUAGGAUUGGUCUGCGGCCUAUCAGGUUGUAGUGGGUGUAAUGGACCCACUAGCCCGUGACGGGUAUGGGCCUUGAGAGAGGGAGCCCAGAGAUGGACUCUGAGACAUGAGUCCAGGCCCUACGGGGCGCAGCAGUCGCGAAAACUUCGCAAUGGGGCAACCCCGACGAGGGAAUUCCAAGUGCCAGCACUUUGUGUUGGCUGUUCUCCUGUCUAAAAAACAGGAGGAGUAAGGGGCGGGUAAGACGGGUGCCAGCCGCCGCGGUAAUACCCGCGCCCCUAGUGGUGGUCGAUAUUAUUGAGCCUAAAACGUCCGUAGCCGGUCUUUUAAAUCUUUGGGCAAAUCGGGCAGCUUAACUGUCCGACUUCCGAGGAGACUGGAAGACUUGGGACCGGGAGAGGUCAGAGGUACUUCUGGGGUAGGGGUAAAAUCCUGUAAUCCUGGAAGGACCACCGGUGGCGAAGGCGUCUGACUAGAACGGAUCCGACGGUGAGGGACGAAGCCCUGGGGCGCAAACGGGAUUAGAUACCCCGGUAGUCCAGGGUGUAAACGCUGCGGGCUUGGUGUUGGGGGUCCUUCGUGGGCGCCCAGUGCCGGAGAGAAGUUGUUAAGCCUGCUGCUUGGGGAGUAUGUCCGCAAGGAUGAAACUUAAAGGAAUUGGCGGGGGAG